Molecule: transfer RNA, 90 nt
Filed under: Caloramator fervidus
Lineage: Bacteria; Bacillati; Bacillota; Clostridia; Eubacteriales; Clostridiaceae
Description: tRNA_Ser_CGA
Rfam family: tRNA
About the family: Transfer RNA (tRNA) molecules are approximately 80 nucleotides in length. Their secondary structure includes four short double-helical elements and three loops (D, anti-codon, and T loops). Further hydrogen bonds mediate the characteristic L-shaped molecular structure. tRNAs have two regions of fundamental functional importance: the anti-codon, which is responsible for specific mRNA codon recognition, and the 3' end, to which the tRNAs corresponding amino acid is attached (by aminoacyl-tRNA synthetases). tRNAs cope with the degeneracy of the genetic code in two manners: having more than one tRNA (with a specific anti-codon) for a particular amino acid; and 'wobble' base-pairing, i.e. permitting non-standard base-pairing at the 3rd anti-codon position.
Source: RNAcentral
GGAGAGAUGGCCGAGUGGUCUAAGGCACUUGACUCGAAAUCAAGCGUGGGGGUAACCCCACCGUGGGUUCGAAUCCCACUCUCUCCGCCA